UUCUUCCUUGUCAUGGGGAUGCAUAAUGUCCAGUGAACGUAUAGUGAGGGCAUUGAUGCUGACAAACCCACUAUCGAAGAAAGGAUUCGUCCUCUUCUUUGCGAAACCCCCGUCCGCCGGUUCGCUUUCAAACAGCUGAUCCGGCUGGUCGGAAUUUUUGAAGCG
This 165-nucleotide non-coding RNA is filed under the name Anopheles dirus. RNAcentral's name for it is "U4atac minor spliceosomal RNA". It matches the Rfam family "U4atac minor spliceosomal RNA". Rfam says of the family: U4atac is an essential component of the minor U12-type spliceosome complex which is required for removal of the rarer class of eukaryotic introns (AT-AC, U12-type). These interacting stem loops have been shown to be required for in vivo splicing. U4atac also contains an 3' Sm protein binding site which has been shown to be essential for splicing activity. Lineage: Eukaryota; Metazoa; Arthropoda; Insecta; Diptera; Culicidae. The record is from RNAcentral.